RNAcentral lists this unclassified non-coding RNA (196 nucleotides) under uncultured fungus. Its description in RNAcentral is "sequence contains ITS1". The record is from RNAcentral. Lineage: Eukaryota; Fungi.
GUAUUUAUUAUAAAGGCACAACAUUCUAUUAACAUACAUUGGGGUAAAUGAAGCAACAUAGACCCAAAAAGGUCUACAAAAGGUGCACAGGUGGAGAUAUAAAGAUGACAAGGUGUGCACAUGCUCCCUAGAGAACCAGCAACAACCCAUCAGGUUUAUUUCAAUAAUGAUCCUUCCGCAGGUUCACCUACGGAAA